RNAcentral lists this small RNA (1306 nucleotides) under Pyricularia oryzae. RNAcentral's name for it is "Magnaporthe oryzae sRNA M_BR32_EuGene_00031701". The record is from RNAcentral. Lineage: Eukaryota; Fungi; Ascomycota; Sordariomycetes; Magnaporthales; Pyriculariaceae.
UUAUUUUAUUUUUAGGGGUAUUUGGUUUUUUAUUGUUAAAGUUCGAAUGUUUCGGGGUUUUUAUAAAUAUUAUCCUGCGUCGAUUUUGGAACUGUUAUAGGUUAUAUAAUUAUCGUUAUAAUAGGUGGUCCAAUUUAUUAUAUUAUAUUAAUUAGGUUAUAUUUAGUUAUAGUUGGUAAUAUUAAAUUUUCGUGGUUUUUCGGGUUUAUUUUUAAAAUUAAUGGUAAAUUCCGGGGUAUUAUUAUAUACCUCGGGACAAUUUCGCGCAAUAUAUUCUGGUUUAUUACAUUUGAAAUAUUUGCCAUUUUUGGGGUUUUUGCGAAAUUGUCGGUAUUAAAUUGCGUUUAGGUCCAUAGGUUCGUUAUAGGUGCCGUACGAAAUAUUAUAUUGGCGAGGCGGUUUGGGGUAUUAAUAUUUGCGUUUUAUAUUAGUUUAUCGCAAAAUUGGGCUUUAUGCGCUGCGUUUUUCGCGUCGUUCCAAUUUUCGCUCGUAUAGUCGAUUGUCGAUUUUAACCGCUAAUUCCAUAUAUUUUAUUAAUAUAUCGGGUUGUUUUUUUUUAACCAAUUCGUUUUUAACCUUUUUUUUAAAUCCUGUAUAAAAAUAUAUUAUUAGGGCUUUUUUACCCCAUAAUAAUUUGGCGGUAAUUUGUCGAAAUUUACUGGUGUAUUUAAAUGCCGAUUUAAUUUGGGUAAAACAUAUUAAUUUACGUUUAACCGUACGUUUUUCGUCUGGGUUACCGAAUAUUUUCCUAAAAUAUUUUUCGAAAUUAUUAUAAUUGUCGAAAAUACGGUUGGUUUUAAUUUUACGGUUUUUUUUUAUUAUAAUCCAAAUAAUUUCGCAAAAUUGGUUCGAAUUAGGCGAACGCGUCGUUUUUUAAAAGGGAGGUUGCGUAAAUAAUUUUAUUUGCAUUAUUAUCGAAAUUAUCCUCGUUAAAAUAAAAAUAUACCCGGGUUUUUAUAAGAAAUUUUUGCAGGGUAUUUAUAAUAUUAUUAUAUAAUAAUAAUAAAGGGUAUUUAAUAUGGUUUUUAUUAAUUCGAUUAAUUUGUUCGGUUAUUUGUUCCUAAAAUUAUCGAUUUUCGGUUUAAAACGUUGCAAUUAUUUAACGUAAAACGUUAACGUUGGCCGGAACGUUAGUAAUAAAGGGGGUUUGAAAGGUGGUUUUUUUGGAAAAUAUUGUUUCGGCGGUAUUAUUCGGUAUAUUUUAAAGCAAAAUAUUAAACAAAAGCAAUUAAAAUGUUACGAUUAAAAUAUUGGGGUAAUUUGUUUUUAGGGUAAAAUAUAAUGGGUUGAAACAAUUAAACGUUUA